AUGAACGCUGGCGGCGUGCCUAAUACAUUCAAGUCGAGCGAACGGACGAGAAGCUUGCUUUUCUGAUGUUAGCGGCGGACGGGUGAGUAACACGUGGAUAACCUACCUAUAAGACUGGGAUAACUUCGGGAAACCGGAGCUAAUACCGGAUAAUAUUUUUAACCGCAUGGUUCAAAAGUGAAAGACGGUCUUGCUGUCACUUAUAGAUGGAUCCGCGCUGCAUUAGCUAGUUGGUAAGGUAACGGCUUACCAAGGCAACGAUGCAUAGCCGACCUGAGAGGGUGAUCGGCCACACUGGAACUGAGACACGGUCCAGACUCCUACGGGAGGCAGCAGUAGGGAAUCUUCCGCAAUGGGCGAAAGCCUGACGGAGCAACGCCGCGUGAGUGAUGAAGGUCUUCGGAUCGUAAAACUCUGUUAUUAGGGAAGAACAUAUGUGUAAGUAACUGUGCACAUCUUGACGGUACCUAAUCAGAAAGCCACGGCUAACUACGUG
This 496-nucleotide ribosomal RNA is filed under the name uncultured bacterium. RNAcentral's name for it is "partial 16S ribosomal RNA". It matches the Rfam family "Bacterial small subunit ribosomal RNA", at positions 29 to 507 of the family's 1533-position model. The record is from RNAcentral.